CUCAUUUCUUCAGCAAACCACCCGCGCCUUCUCACUUCCUUCUCCCACUCUCUGCAGGUACAGGUUCGAACAAUGGUGGAAGAAGAUGCAUCUUCGAUGGAUUCUCCGAUCUCUUGUUGCAUUGCUUGUUCUUUUGAAUCACUAGCAGAUAAGGAAUGUGGUUGCGCGCUUCAAAUGCUACCGCCUGUUCACUCCGGCCUACUGAGAUCUGCGGGAGCUACAUUUUGACCUUCCGACUUGUACCAGAUUUAUCGAUCGUCCACAGAUAUCUGCCUGCAUUCUCAAAGCCGACAGGAUUGUUUGGAAUGACAUAAUAUUUCUCGUUUAUUGGGUGGAAUUGGCAAUCGGGAUGUUUUUGGUUGAAGU
Cucurbita maxima (winter squash) is the source of this 366-nucleotide long non-coding RNA. RefSeq lists it as uncharacterized. Lineage: Eukaryota; Viridiplantae; Streptophyta; Magnoliopsida; Cucurbitales; Cucurbitaceae. The transcript has 3 exons. The record is from RefSeq and is a predicted model, not a curated record.